GUUCCGUAGGUGAACCUGCGGAAGGAUCAUUAUUGUAUAACCGAGGUGCGAGGGCUGUCGCUGACCCGAAAGGUCGUGCACGCCCGAGUGCCCUCACACACAUCCAUCUCACCCCUAUGUGCACCACCGCGUGGGUCCCUCUUUGGCUUGUUCGGAGGGGGGCUUACGUUUUCACACAAACUUUGUAUGCAGUGUAGAAUGUAUUUUUUGUUUUUGCGAUCACGCAAUCAAUACAACUUUCAACAACGGAUCUCUUGGCUCUC
This 263-nucleotide unclassified non-coding RNA is filed under the name plant metagenome. RNAcentral's name for it is "partial contains small subunit ribosomal RNA, internal transcribed spacer 1, and 5.8S ribosomal RNA". The record is from RNAcentral.